UCAACCAUCAAGCCCUGCUUGGUAUUGGGUGCCGUCCCUGCUGCGGACGCUCCCUAAAGUAAUCGGCGGUGGUGUUGAACCUCAAGCGUAGUAGAAUCUCCAGCUUUCUAGGUGAGACGCCGCUCGGCCUCGAGAAACCCUCAUCUCAA
This 149-nucleotide unclassified non-coding RNA is filed under the name uncultured Botryosphaeriaceae. RNAcentral's name for it is "sequence contains ITS2". The record is from RNAcentral. Lineage: Eukaryota; Fungi; Ascomycota; Dothideomycetes; Botryosphaeriales; Botryosphaeriaceae.